This 513-nucleotide unclassified non-coding RNA is filed under the name Hevea brasiliensis (rubber tree). The record is from RNAcentral. Lineage: Eukaryota; Viridiplantae; Streptophyta; Magnoliopsida; Malpighiales; Euphorbiaceae.
CGGUCCACGGCCUGUGUCUUUAAGUGACUGGUAUGAGGAGAUAAGCUCACUCAACUGCUUGAGGCCCUUGUAAAGCCCAGCAUUUUCAGCUGGAGGUGUCAAAUAGCUAAUGGUGUUUGCGUAGCUUCGACGUUUUGCAAUGGUGGCUUCAGAUGGGUUAUUAGCUGCAUAAUAGUAGACAUUGGGGAUAUUCCCAAUGAGACUGUCAGGAUAACACACAUCACUCAUUCCCACUUGCUUUCCUGGCAUAAAUUCAAGUGAACCAUGAGUACCAAAAUGAAGUACUGUAUCAGCAUUGAAAAUUUUCUCUACAAAGGAGUAGUAAGCUGCAAAGCCAUGAUGUGGGCUAGCAGAUUUGGAGAAUAGCAGCCGCAUAGGAUCACCCUCGUAGCCAAAAGUAGGCUGGACUCCAAUGAAGACAUUACCAUACUGUUUUCCAUACACCAAGAGAUUCUCUCCAUCAGAAUUCAAAUUGCCUGGAGGUUUUCCCCAGUUUUCUUCCAAUGCUGUGGC